RNAcentral lists this long non-coding RNA (1196 nucleotides) under Cyanistes caeruleus (blue tit). RNAcentral describes it as "lncRNA (ENSCCEG00000016192.1)". Lineage: Eukaryota; Metazoa; Chordata; Aves; Passeriformes; Paridae. The record is from RNAcentral.
CUUUCUUUAGGGGUGUCACAAUGUGCAGCUUCAUUUGUGUUGCCCAUAUGCCAGCAGUCUUUUCAAAAGCCACUCUUGCUCUUCUGCUGAUCAUUGCAUCAGACAGGAAGGUGAUUUCGGGAGAGCUGCUCUGAUUCCUACUGCUUUCAGUGAGAGACGAAACAUCUUUCUCCUCUCUGAAAGAAGUACUUGGCAGAAGCAACAGACAAGUUCUUAAACUCCUAUCUGUGCUUCUUGGAACUGAUACUAGUGCAGAACCCAUUCUCCCAAUUAAAAACUGACAGUCUAACAUCUUGCUGCAAAGGUAUUUGGUAAAAAAGGAUAUUAGAUGGGAAAAUAUUAAACAGUGAGUACAGUAUCUCCAGCAAGUCUAUCAGAAUUACAUAAUUUGCCUUAGCUGGUGCAGGAUUUUUACUUUGCUCUAUGCUCAGCAUCAUACACAAUAAAGGACAUGAGUGCUCUUGAUUUUUUUUUUCCAUAACCACCACUCAGAGUGAGAGUUGUGCAUAUGUCCUUGACAAGACUUGAAAUUUCGAAUAGUUUCACUUGUUACCAAUAUUUUCUCAAGUUAUUUCAUGGACACUAAUUAAUAUUCCAGCUACUUAAGCAAUCCUGGUCCAUCCCACUGCAAGGAAGACUGUCUCCAAAUGACUAGAUGAAUUGAAAACCCUUGUUCUGCCCAUUCAGCAUCAUUACAAAAUGACACUGAGUACUGUUCUUAAGUGUUCCUGUAUCACUCUGUCUCUCUCAGCCAUCAAGCACAGAAGAAUCUGCAGUUGUUAAGUCCUUUUGUGUCCAAAGGGAAAGGAGUAGGAUUUCAGGAUACAUUAAUACCUCCACAAAGGAAAUGUGUUACAUACUUGGACUCAGCCUCAGCCCAAAGGAGGAGCCCUUAACAAGCAUCUCUUGGUGCUAAGUAGGGGAACAAAGUAAAAGGGACUCUGACUGUGACACUUGAGUCAGAUGGAUCUAUGCACAUCCAAGUGCCUCUGUGACAAUGACUGUAGCAAAAGUUCACUCCAGACAAGGGCUACAUGUACGAACAUGUAUCUGCAUGGCCCUUUAGACUGCAAUAACACAUACCUGGAAGCAUCACAGGCAAAAGAAGUAAACAACAGGGGAAAGAAGAAAAGCAUGGUCACAUGCAUCCCGGAUAUUCUGAGGUCAGCACGUGUGGAGGAAUAGCAUACCAUAAG